AAUCACAAUAAAAAGCAUACAAGGGAGCCGCAGAUCGAGUAUGCUCCGACUGUACAUUGACUGCUGCCCAUUGCGCACAGUAAUAAGAGAAAAAACUAGCAGCAGAGUAGUAUCAGGAGAGACGUGCGAACAGUAGUACGGCACGGUGCAGGCAGAUCGAUCGAUCGCCGGAGAGCAGAAUGAUGCCAGGCACCCCGGCCGUACGCCGAGGAAAAGCAGACGGGGAAACUGCCCUCCGAUCGAUCGGUUCCUGCAUCUCAGAGGGGAAAAGGUCGAAGCAUCCUCGACCGUCGGAUCGCAUCAAGAGACAAUAGCCGUUGGUUCGAUUAUCGAAUUUGGGCUCGAUCUGGCUCGGCGGACUGAUCGACCGGCCAUUCUGCAGCAGAAGCUGGACGACUCCGGCCGGCUAGCUCUGCCUACGAUCAUAGUGGAGUAAUGAAGAGAGAGAGAGAGAGGUAGGUAUUGUCUCUGCGCGUUGUGUUCGAGACGGCACAACAGUAGGCGUGCCAUGCAGGAGCAAGUCUAGCUGCACUGCAUUGCAUUGCAUCGCAUGGCUCGCGCAGGACCGGCCUCGAUCAGCAGCAGCUACAGUUCGAUCUCGCCCCUCGAGUAUGCAAAGUGGAAGGCAUGCGGGUGCUCUGCUCGCGCGGCACAGAGGUAAGUGCUGUACUCCAGUAGAGAGGGAGGAAGAGACUCAGACAGCGGUGUAAGCUAAGCUACGGUAUCGAUGCCUUUUAGCCCUGGAUUCGAUCGAGUGUCCGGCCGCCAUUAAAUGGGGGGCAGCCGGCAACGCUGGUCACUCCUCAAUCCUCAUGCCUUCUUCCCCGCCACCUGGUUGAUCUAUUCUCGCUGUCUUUGUGCCUCUCUUUCUUGGACUCUUGCUUGCUUGCUUGCCUGUCUCUCUCCUGCCAGCCCUCGCCAAAUUCAAUUCAACUCAUGGCGCGCCCACGCUCUCCAAUCAUGGCAUGUUUGUGUUUCACGAUUCUGCCAGAACGAGAUCACUUGCCCCCAAGCAUCUUUGUGCCCAAACUAUUCUGACAAUAUCGAGUUUGGGGUAACAAUUGCCGGAGGAAGAAGACGGUGCUCAAUGACAGGCGGCGAGGAGAAAGGCCGGCCGGACGGCGCCGUGGGCGGAGGCGGGUCUCGGUCUCGAGCGCGAUAUGGAGUAAUUCUGUAAUUGUUCAUCAACCAAACAUCCACAACCAAUCGUGCUCCGAUCUUGAUCUUACGAUCGGUAGACUGUACUACAGUACCCCUGCUGUCUGCCCUUGUUUCCUUCUGCUGAUUCAAUGCACAGCUUUAUUCGACGACGGCUAAGCUGUAGUACUGCUAUACAUCAAGUGCAACGCAUGCAGAGGAAUUUAAGCAGCGCCUGCACUGCGUGAUCUACGUACAAUACAUACGGAGUACUACUAGUAGCUAGUGGUUCUGCAAAUGCUCCGUAUGACUAUCUGUUGGUACAGAGUAAUUAAGGGAUCACUGCAAGAUCCAUCUCACUGAAUAUACUGGAGUUACGGAGUAUCAUAUCGGGGUUCAAAUCUAAGUGUUCAGAAGAUGAUGGUCCAUGGCGGAUCGAUCGACCGGUUACCCUUAAGGACUCACCGCCGCAUCAACGUAUGGUCCGCUGCAGCGUACAACGAAUGAACGAUUCAGGAUGCAUAUACAUGCUCCAGCAGCAGCAGAUCGAGCGUCUCCGAGGGAAGGGAAAGAAUAUGCAGAUCUAAAAAUACAAUUCAGCUCGAUCCGAUGAACUCGAAUCGAUCCCUCUCCAGCUCGAUCCGAUGACGUUAAACUUCCACAAAUAUGCCGUGUCGGUCGAGAUGCUGAUGCAUGCCCAAAAAAGAGCAGUAUAAAAAGCCCAGCAAUCAAAACCAUUGAUGUGGUAGUAAUAUUCAACCACCAUGUUUGUGCUUGUUAGGGCGAUUCGUGCUUGGAUUUCAGCAAGUUGCGUUAGCAGCUAGCUAGCUGCCCCUGCCACACAAACACAUGACGAAGAAUCCACCCAUCGAUCGCACGCCAGCGCCCACGGGGCGUAAAGGCCAAGGCGUGAAGGUACAUGGCCGGGCCGGGGAAGCAGAUGCAUGCGGUGGAGAUCCUUCUGAAUUCUGACCCAACCCUGCUCUCUGUCUGCUUGGCCGCGUUUACUGCCUCGAGUAGUACCUACAGCAACGUAAACAUGCCUUUUUCCGCUCUCGUCACGGAUCUGAACUGCUUGGAGUAGUAAAUUAAAGCUGCGCGAGGACAGCAGGCGGUACAAGCCGGGAACGUGUCCUCGAGAUUUGCAGAGCUCGAUCUCCUCCAAUUUUGACCAGAUAACUGGUCGUAGAACUCGCAGGAGUAGUAAAUUAAGAACCGUAUAUUGCACCAGUGACAAGCAGUCAGACGAUUCGAAGAGGACUACACGUGUACUCCACGAGUUUGAUCGUACUCAAAUACGUGCAUAAAGCAAGGAUUGACGGUGAA
Long non-coding RNA from Brachypodium distachyon (stiff brome), 2463 nucleotides. RefSeq lists it as uncharacterized. The transcript has 2 exons. The record is from RefSeq and is a predicted model, not a curated record. NCBI's taxonomy places the organism in Eukaryota, Viridiplantae, Streptophyta, Magnoliopsida, Poales, Poaceae.